This 380-nucleotide unclassified non-coding RNA is filed under the name uncultured bacterium. RNAcentral's name for it is "contains 16S-23S intergenic spacer region". The record is from RNAcentral.
UCCGAGUUGUCCCCGGCAGUCUCUUAUGAGUCCCCGGCAUUACCCGCUGGUAACAUAAGACAAGGGUUGCGCUCGUUGCGGGACUUAACCCAACAUCUCACGACACGAGCUGACGACAGCCAUGCAGCACCGUCUCACAGAUUCUCCGAAGAGCACCCCUCCAUCUCUGGAAGGUUCCUGUGGAUUUAACCCAGGUAAGGUUCUGCGCGUUGCGUCGAAUUGAACCACAUGCUCCACCGCUUGUGCGGGCCCCCGUCAAUUCCUUUGAGUUUCAGCCUUGCGGCCGUACUCCCCAGGCGGGGCACUUAAUGCGUUAGCGCCGGCCCUCGGGGGGUCAAUACCCACAGCACCUAGCGCUCAUCGUUUACAGCGUGGACUAC